AUUGAACGCUGGCGGCAGGCUUAACACAUGCAAGUCGAGCGGGGGAAGGUAGCUUGCUACCGGACCUAGCGGCGGACGGGUGAGUAAUGCUUAGGAAUCUGCCUAUUAGUGGGGGACAACAUCUCGAAAGGGAUGCUAAUACCGCAUACGUCCUACGGGAGAAAGCAGGGGAUCUUCGGACCUUGCGCUAAUAGAUGAGCCUAAGUCGGAUUAGCUAGUUAGUGGGGUAAAGGCCUACCAAGGCGACGAUCUGUAGCGGGUCUGAGAGGAUGAUCCGCCACACUGGGACUGAGACACGUCCCAGACUCCUUCGGGAGUCAGCAGUGGGGAAUAUUUGACAAUGGGGGGAACCCUGAUCCAGCCAUGCCGCGUGUGUGAAGAAGGCCUUAUGGUUGUAAAGCACUUUAAGCGAGGAGGAGGCUGCUCUAGUUAAUACCUAGGGAUAGUGGACGUUACUCGCAGAAUAAGCACCGGCUAACUCUGUGCCAGCAGCCGCAGUAA
Molecule: ribosomal RNA, 501 nt
Filed under: uncultured bacterium
Lineage: Bacteria
Description: partial 16S ribosomal RNA
Rfam family: Bacterial small subunit ribosomal RNA
Source: RNAcentral